UCUCCAGUGAGACAGUCUCUGG
This 22-nucleotide microRNA is filed under the name Sus scrofa (pig). RNAcentral's name for it is "ssc-mir266". The record is from RNAcentral. Lineage: Eukaryota; Metazoa; Chordata; Mammalia; Artiodactyla; Suidae.